Molecule: long non-coding RNA, 1256 nt
Organism: Macrobrachium nipponense
Lineage: Eukaryota; Metazoa; Arthropoda; Malacostraca; Decapoda; Palaemonidae
Exons: 2
Source: RefSeq, a predicted model, not a curated record
AGCAACUUUACGGACAUUUACUUUUUCCUGUGGAAUUCUUGUCAUCUGUUAAACUUUCAACUUUUUCUUGCAAGUAACUAUGUAUGAAUGUGGAGGCUUACGUAUCCUGUAAAAUUGCAUGACUUCGCCUUUCAUGUAAAUAGGAGUGGGACAAGGAAAGGCGACAGACUUAAUUAAUAAGGCUUGUCUUGCUCUCUGCAUUGACAUGCUUUGUGUUCUUGUGUGUGGAGGGUCACUCACCGACCGUAUUGGUUUUUGUAGACAUCUGAUGGGAUGACUGUCAGUUCCAAAGGCACCGUAGCGAUCGCAAUCUACUAAGAGGAGGACGUCGGGCUCCUUAGGCCACAGUAGCAGCAGCAGCAGCAGCAGCAGCACAGCAUCGAACGGCGUUCCUCUCCUUCAGCACCCACGAUGUUGCUCUUCUCAGUCAUACCCGCUUUGCCUGCUGACAAGCGGAGUCGCCUGCACCUCCUGCUGCUGUUCCUACUGGUGGUGGCAGCGUGCCUGUACUUCAGCUACCUAGUGUACCUGCUGGUGGAGGACCAAUGGACGAUGACGGCGCUCUUCUUCGCCAUUGGCUUCGCCGUAUUCAUGUCGCUGGGGAUGUGCGUCAUCAAUGUCGCGCAGCAGGUCAAGUUCGACGACGAAGAAGACGGCGAGAGGACCUGGCUCAUUCAGCCGCCUCAGCCUUGAGCUCGAUUUCCCACAAAAUUGGUUCUUGCUGUUGUGUGACCGUCUGGCUCUUGCUGUUCAUUGUGUGACCGUCAUAUUUUUUUUUUCUUUUAAACGUGGGUGCUUCUUUGUACGAGGAUGUGGGACAAGAUUGUUUGUAUUGUUUCUUGUCUUGUUUGUUCUGCUGCAAUCACAGAGAUGUACCUCCCGAGUCGUGUAUAUUUGCCUUUUGAAAUUUCCGAAAUACUAACAGUAAUACGCAAGUCAUUUUCAAGUACCGUAAUUUAAAUAGAGUAUUAAAGUUUUUUACAGGUAAUUGAAUGCAUUUUGAAACGGUAAAUUGUACUACUGGGUAUGAUUGUCAACGUAGAAAAUGCAAUAUUGAUGAGUACUACGGUGUUACGCUCUUUUGAUCAACCUUCUGGGAGUUUCAACUUUUCGAAAUUAUUUUAAACUGUAUGAACGGUUAUUUAUCCUAAUUUUGCAUCGGUAUUUUAAAAGGUGAUUGUUAUCAUUUUUAUAAACUAUGUAUUAUAUCUAUGAAUUGUUAUACCAAUUUAAAAUAUAUAUAUAUAUAAACAGAA